RNAcentral lists this small RNA (694 nucleotides) under Lactifluus luteopus. RNAcentral describes it as "eukaryotic LSU rRNA". The stretch from base 276 to 429 matches the Rfam family "5.8S ribosomal RNA". Lineage: Eukaryota; Fungi; Basidiomycota; Agaricomycetes; Russulales; Russulaceae. The record is from RNAcentral.
UCUUGGUCAUUUAGAGGAAGUAAAAGUCGUAACAAGGUUUCCGUAGGUGAACCUGCGGAAGGAUCAUUAUCGUAACAACGGGAGGCCCGAGUGCUGUCGCUGACCCCCUCAAGGGGGUCGUGCACGCCCUCGGGGCUUCUCCUCACAAUCAAUCCAUCUCACCCUUUGUGCAUCACCGCCGUGGGCCCUUCGGAAAGGGGGGCUUGCGUUUUUUUUACACAUCCCACACAUUCAUCUUAGAAUGUCUUUUUUGCAUUUCUGUAUGCAAUCAAUACAACUUUCAACAACGGAUCUCUUGGCUCUCGCAUCGAUGAAGAACGCAGCGAAAUGCGAUACGUAAUGUGAAUUGCAGAAUUCAGUGAAUCAUCGAAUCUUUGAACGCACCUUGCGCCCCUUGGCAUUCCGAGGGGCACACCCGUUUGAGUGUCGUGAAAUCCUCAACCCUUCUUCCUUUUUGGAGGAAAAGGCUUGGACUUUGGAGGCUUUUGCUGGCCUCUCUUUGAAGCCAGCUCCUCUUAAACAUUAGCAGGGUUCUCCUUUGCCAGGAUCCCUUGACGUGGAUAAGCCUUUUUACGUCUCGAGGGCUUUCUCUCUCUCUCGCUCCCAAAGAUCUCAUCGAGAUAUCAGGGACCUCAAAUCGGGUGAGACUACCCGCUGAACUUAAGCAUAUCAAUAAGCGGAGGAAAAGAAACUA